Molecule: unclassified non-coding RNA, 260 nt
Filed under: Ascomycota sp.
Lineage: Eukaryota; Fungi; Ascomycota
Description: partial contains small subunit ribosomal RNA, internal transcribed spacer 1, and 5.8S ribosomal RNA
Rfam family: Eukaryotic small subunit ribosomal RNA (bases 1-47)
Source: RNAcentral
AAAGUCGUAACAAGGUCUCCGUUGGUGAACCAGCGGAGGGAUCAUUACCGAGUUUGCUUUUCUAGCUCGAAACCCACUGUGAACAUACCUCUCUUCUCGUUGCUUCGGCGGCGGUUCCUCGUCUGCGCUCGCUUCUGGCGGGUGUUGUCUAGGUCCUUAGCCGUCGGAGGGACGCAACCAAAACUCUUUCUUACUUUCAAGUAUUAUCUGAGUCGAUAUUUUAAUUAUCAAAACUUUCAGCAACGGAUCUCUUGGUUCUG